RNAcentral lists this small RNA (476 nucleotides) under Pongo abelii (Sumatran orangutan). RNAcentral describes it as "retained intron". Lineage: Eukaryota; Metazoa; Chordata; Mammalia; Primates; Hominidae. The record is from RNAcentral.
GUAAAGGGACUCAUGGUCUGCAUCUCUUCCGGCAGAUGUUAUCCUAACAGACACAUUUAUUGGAUACUUAGUUGGAAAUACCUUAUGGUUGGUUGCAGUUGGCUAUUAUAUCUAUGUAACUUUCCUGGGAUACAGUGCAUUGCCAUUCUUGAAAAAUACAGUAAUUCUUCUGUAUCCAUUUGCACCUCUGAUUCUGCUCUACGGGCUGUCCCUGGCACUGGGAUGGAACUUCACCCAUACUCUCUGUUCUUUCUAUAAGUACAGAGUGAAAUAAAAAGUGAGAAGAUUCGAUCGUAACUGUGUCAACAGUAUUGUGAAGUGAUCAUUUCUUGUAAAACUUGUAAAUAAACUAUCUUUGUAGAUAUCUUAAAGGUGUAAAGUUUGCAAAUUUGAAGAAAUAUAUAUUAACACUGUGGUCAGGUACAUUCCUUAAAACUAAUUAAAUGUACAUUUCUAUAAUAAAUAUUUUUUAAACU